CUGCAGCCAAUUAGGCAGACCAUCCUCCUUGCCCCCUGGGGGGCCUGGUGUGUGCUCUGGCCGCAGAACCAGCCUCCUUGGUAGCGGCUGUAGCCUGCUGCUUAUAUGGGUUGCCCUGAGGACCCUUGGGGACAUGA
Molecule: small nucleolar RNA, 137 nt
Filed under: Choloepus hoffmanni (Hoffmann's two-fingered sloth)
Lineage: Eukaryota; Metazoa; Chordata; Mammalia; Pilosa; Megalonychidae
Description: Small nucleolar RNA SNORA70 (ENSCHOG00000015921.1)
Rfam family: Small nucleolar RNA SNORA70
About the family: snoRNA U70 seems to be exclusive to mammals and is a member of the H/ACA class of snoRNA which contain H (ANANNA) and ACA box motifs. H/ACA box snoRNAs are involved in the conversion of uridines to pseudouridines (5-ribosyluracil) a constituent of structural RNAs (transfer, ribosomal, small nuclear, and small nucleolar).
Source: RNAcentral